RNAcentral lists this ribosomal RNA (467 nucleotides) under uncultured bacterium. RNAcentral's name for it is "partial 16S ribosomal RNA". It matches the Rfam family "Bacterial small subunit ribosomal RNA", at positions 29 to 507 of the family's 1533-position model. The record is from RNAcentral.
AGUGAACGCUGGCGGUAGGCCUAACACAUGCAAGUCGAACGGCAGCACAGUAAGAGCUUGCUCUUACGGGUGGCGAGUGGCGGACGGGUGAGGAAUACAUCGGAAUCUACUUUUUCGUGGGGGAUAACGUAGGGAAACUUACGCUAAUACCGCAUACGACCUACGGGUGAAAGCAGGGGAUCUUCAGACCUUGCGCGAUUGAAUGAGCCGAUGUCGGAUUAGCUAGUUGGCAGGGUAAAGGCCCACCAAGGCGACGAUCCGUAGCUGGUCUGAGAGGAUGAUCAGCGACACUGGGAGUGAGACACGGUCCAGACUCCUACGGGAGGCAGCAGUGGGGAAUAUUGGACAAUGGGCGAAAGCCUGAUCCAGCAAUGCCGCGUGAGUGAUGAAGGUCUUAGGGUUGUAAAGCUCUUUUACCCGGGAUGAUAAUGACAGUACCGGGAGAAUAAGCACCGGCUAACUCCGUG